CCCGCCGCUCCGGCCGCAGCACCCGGGCGCAGCCCCGUCCCCCGGGACCCCCUAUGCCGGGAACCGGGGGUUCUCCACCGCCAUCCUGCAGCCGGGGUCCCCCAUCCCCGCUCUUGGCACCCGGGAGAAACCCGUCCUCCGGGAUCCCGUCCUUUUGUCGCUGGGUCAGGGACUUGUCCAAGACCUCGGGACAGCCGAACCCAUCCCUGGGACCGAAGAGCAGCAUCAGAAUCCAGAACCCUUGCCUUCUUCCUCCUGCCUCCAUCCCUGGACGCUGCGGUCGGUCCCUGAACCCCGGAGUCCUCAGCGCCGACCUCUGGAGCUGAUGCCGCUCCCAGAGCCCAGGACUCCCUGUCACUGCCCUGGGGAGCUGUCAGCCCCAGAGCCCAGGACGCUGGGUGUCUCCUGGCUGUGCCCCAGGUACCGGUCCUCCAGAGCGCACAGAACUUUCAAAGUGGGAUUCUGCUAACACCCUCCACUUGGGAUCAGGACAUUGAGCAGUUUUGCCAUGGAAGGGGAAGAUGCAGAUGCAUGUGUCUGUGACACCACCAGAUCCUGGCUCUUUCUGCGUGGCACUUUUGCUGUGUUGGAUUAGUCCCAUACAAAUCACCUGUGAAGCCAACCUUUGAAGCAGAGAUGCUGCCUCACCCACACGGCUGGGCCAGCUAAGAGAUGGAGCAAAGGGCUGGGACAAGCACAACAGAGGAGGAAUAUCCUACACCAGCCAAGCCCUAAUUCCUUUCUUUAAGCAUAAACCCUUAAGCAGACCACCUGCUUACCCUUAAGUGUGUCAUUUUUCCCGUAUCUGCAUGAGUCCUGGUCCUCCGUUUGCAGGCAUCCUUGCAGCACCUGGCACAGUAAUCAGUCAAGACCUGCAUGGCUGCUUCUUCUGGGUUCUAAAAAACAAAGGAGGAAAAAAAGAGACUCUUUGGUUUCUCUAAAAUCACUGUUUAUUUGCCAGUUCUUGCAUGUUAAGAUUUCUGAGAAAACAAACAAUCUCCAGGGGCUUCUUGACGUUAUUUGCCUUCUAGCAGAAAUCCUAUCAGCUUCUCCUGUGGUUCUCAGAUCUGGCAGGGGCAGCUCCCCUCCCUCCUCUUUUUUCACCCCUAAACAACACGCAGACACCCUCCCCAUUGAAUUAACAUCAUCUUUCCCCUGCAAUAUCAUGUUGGAGUGACUUCCUUGGCUCACAGUUGCAAAUUUGGUCUCUCCCGUGCUGGGGAUUCCGAGCAGCAGGAGUCAGGAGCUGCCUGGAGUGUAUGCAAUCCUGUGCCAGGCUGCACUUGUUCAGGAACGAGAAUCUCCUCUUCCCGUUGAACGGGGUUGAUUCAGAAACCCCUACAGAAGUCCUGCUGUGUUUAAGUUUAAUGGGAAUAGGACACUUGAGAGCACAUGAGCUGUCCCUGAUCGGGCGGGGAGAGCUCCCUCCCUGUCGGAAACCCAUGAGUUUGUGCCAGCAUCCGCAAGCCUUGUGUGGUUUUGGGGGGCGGUGAUUUUUGUGGGAACUCAGCAGCUGCCCAGCCUCGAGCGGGGCUGGUGAAUGUCCCGGAAGCCGAGCUGGCACUGCUGCGGGAGCCUCGGAGGGCUGCUGCUGCUGCUGCGGGCUGUGCCCGCCUGCUCGGCAGGAAGUCCACCGCCUGGGACCGAGGGGCUAAUUGCAUUAUGCAAUCUUUGUAGCCAGAGUCAGGACUUUAAUUAUGUCUUUCCUCUCCUUGCUGGCUCUCGGCAAAGUCACGUCGGCUCUGCUCUGUGCGAUGCUCAGCCAUGCCUGUGAGAAAGUGGGAUUGUUACACAGCGGGGAGGUGGGGACGGAGGCUGCACAUCCAAGGGUUUGAAGCUUGAGUCCCCGCUUCAGCAGAUGCUCCGUGUAAAUCAGCGCCGCAGAUGAGCCGCGUCGUUCUGCACCAGCUGGGACUUUCGGCCCUGGAA
Molecule: long non-coding RNA, 1929 nt
Organism: Corvus hawaiiensis (hawaiian crow)
Lineage: Eukaryota; Metazoa; Chordata; Aves; Passeriformes; Corvidae
Exons: 3
Source: RefSeq, a predicted model, not a curated record